RNAcentral lists this ribosomal RNA (1520 nucleotides) under uncultured bacterium. RNAcentral's name for it is "bacterial SSU rRNA". It matches the Rfam family "Bacterial small subunit ribosomal RNA". The record is from RNAcentral.
AGAGUUUGAUCCUGGCUCAGGAUGAACGCUGGCGGCAGGCCUAAUACAUGCAAGUCGGACGGCAGCAUGCCGUAGCAAUACGGUGAUGGCGAGUGGCGUACGGGUGCGUAACACGUGUGCAACCUGCCCCGCACAGGGACAAAACGCCGGGAAACUGGCGCUAAUAUCCCAUGACGCCGCGCUGGGGCAUCCCUUUGCGGCUAAAGAGGCGACUCGGUGCGGGAUGGGCACGCGUCCCAUUAGAUAGUUGGCGGGGUGACGGCCCACCAAGUCCGCGAUGGGUAGGGGUUCUGAGAGGACAGGCCCCCCACACUGGAACUGAGACACGGUCCAGACUCCUACGGGAGGCAGCAGUAAGGAAUAUUGGUCAAUGGGAGGAAUCCUGAACCAGCCAUGCCGCGUGCGGGAGGAAGGCCCUACGGGUCGUAAACCGCUUUUGCCCGGGGAUAGUGCGCGUCACGAGUGGCGCGAGAGAAGGUACCGGGCGAAUAAGCAUCGGCUAACUCCGUGCCAGCAGCCGCGGUAAUACGGAGGAUGCGAGCGUUAUCCGGAUUUAUUGGGUUUAAAGGGUGCGCAGGCGGACCGGUAAGUCAGCGGUGAAAUCCACACGCCCAACGUGUGAAGUGCCGUUGAUACUGCCGGACUGGUAUGCCGGGGGCGCGGCCGGAAUGUGUCGUGUAGCGGUGAAAUGCAUAGAUAUGACACAGAACGCCGAUCGUGAAGACAGGUCGCGAACCGGAGAUAGACGCUCAAGCACGAAAGCGUGGGGAUCAAACAGGAUUAGAUACCCUGGUAGUCCACGCCGUAAACGAUGAUGACUCGUUGCCGGGGGGCGACCCUCGGCGGCCAAGCGAAAGCGAUAAGUCAUCCACCUGGGGAGUACGAUCGCAAGGUUGAAACUCAAAGGAAUUGACGGGGGCCCGCACAAGCGGAGGAGCAUGUGGUUUAAUUCGAUGAUACGCGAGGAACCUUACCCGGGCUUGAAUUGCGCCUGAAGACGGCGGAGACGCCGUUGCCUUAGGGCAGGCGUGAAGGUGCUGCAUGGUUGUCGUCAGCUCGUGCCGUGAGGUGUCAGGUUAAGUCCUAUAACGAGCGCAACCCCUACUGCCAGUUGCCAGCGGAUCAUGCCGGGGACUCUGGCGGGACUGCCCGCGCAAGCGGAGAGGAGGGCGGGGAUGACGUCAAAUCAGCACGGCCCUUAUGUCCGGGGCUACACACGUGCUACAAUGGCCGCCACAGAGGGGCGCCACCCAGCGAUGGGGCGCGGAUCCCGAAAGGCGGUCUCAGUUCGGAUCGGAGUCUGCAACCCGACUCCGUGAAGUUGGAUUCGCUAGUAAUCGCGCAUCAGCCAUGGCGCGGUGAAUACGUUCCCGGGCCUUGUACACACCGCCCGUCAAGCCAUGGGAGCCGGAGGUGCCUGAAGGGUGUGGCCGAGAGGAGCGCCUUAGGGUAAAUUUGGUGACUGGGGCUAAGUCGUAACAAGGUAGCCGUACCGGAAGGUGUGGCUGGAACACCUCCUU